UACGAAGGGGGCGAGCGUUGUUCGGAUUUACUGGGCGUAAAGGGCGCGCAGGCGGCUCAUUUUGUCAGGCGUGAAAGCCCCGGGCUUAACCUGGGAACUGCGUUUGAUACGGAUGGGCUAGAGUUCGGGAGAGGAGAGUGGAAUUCCCAGUGUAGAGGUGAAAUUCGUAGAUAUUGGGAAGAACACCGAUGGCGAAGGCAGCCAUCUGGACCGACACUGACGCUGAGGCGCGAAAGCGUGGGGAGCAAACAGG
RNAcentral lists this ribosomal RNA (253 nucleotides) under uncultured bacterium. RNAcentral's name for it is "partial 16S ribosomal RNA". It matches the Rfam family "Bacterial small subunit ribosomal RNA", at positions 524 to 776 of the family's 1533-position model. The record is from RNAcentral.